This 468-nucleotide ribosomal RNA is filed under the name uncultured bacterium. RNAcentral describes it as "partial 16S ribosomal RNA". It matches the Rfam family "Bacterial small subunit ribosomal RNA", at positions 28 to 507 of the family's 1533-position model. The record is from RNAcentral.
GACGAACGCUGGCGGCGUGCUUAACACAUGCAAGCCGAACGGAAAGGCCUUGCUUUUGUGGGGUGCUCGAGUGGCGAACGGGUGAGUAACACGUGAGUAACCUGCCCUUGACUUUGGGAUAACUUCAGGAAACUGGGGCUAAUACCGGAUAGGAGCUCCUGCUGCAUGGUGGGGGUUGGAAAGUUUCGGCGGUUGGGGAUGGACUCGCGGCUUAUCAGCUUGUUGGUGGGGUAGUGGCUUACCAAGGCUUUGACGGGUAGCCGGCCUGAGAGGGUGACCGGCCACAUUGGGACUGAGAUACGGCCCAGACUCCUACGGGAGGCAGCAGUGGGGAAUAUUGCACAAUGGGCGGAAGCCUGAUGCAGCAACGCCGCGUGCGGGAUGACGGCCUUCGGGUUGUAAACCGCUUUCGCCUGUGACGAAGCGUGAGUGACGGUAAUGGGUAAAGAAGCACCGGCUAACUACGUG